RNAcentral lists this long non-coding RNA (1176 nucleotides) under Mustela putorius furo (domestic ferret). RNAcentral's name for it is "lncRNA (ENSMPUG00000027480.1)". The record is from RNAcentral. Lineage: Eukaryota; Metazoa; Chordata; Mammalia; Carnivora; Mustelidae.
CCUCACACCUAUUCUUUUCUCUACUUUUUACAAAUGAGGAAACUGAGGCAUAGAGAGGGGAAGCCACCUGCCCAGAACCUCCAAGUCAGCAUGUGGAGGACUGAGACUCAAACCAUACUCUCCCCCAAGGCACCCUGCUGCUGCUGGCCCUCUGGGGACAGGUGACCUAAAAGGCCAGCUCCACAGCAGGUAGGGGGUGAAGGGAAAGUUGUGUGAACCCACCAGGGUGGUGAGGUCCAGUCUGUUGAUCUCUUUCCAGCUCCUGUUUUAUCUCCCACCUUGCCGCUGAGCGCAGAGGCUCUGAGAGGGAAAGGCAGUUCCGCAAAUGAGCAUCAGAGCGGGGACUAAACCCGAGAGAGGCUGGGGCAUGGGCGCUGGCUGCCUGUGGUGUGUGUCCUACUGGAGGGGGCUCUGGUUCCAGAUGGCAGCCGAACCAGGCCCAGAGAAGCAGAGUGACUUGCCCACUCACAAGCUUGAGUCCAUGGAUCCAGAACCGGGGUUCCUGAUUCUCGGCCCCGGGUCUCUGUCCAGCAUACCUGCCCUUGCACCAACACGCCUGACUUACCAACCAGCAUCUUCCUGAGCAUGGCUUAGACGGUCAGUCCCAGCUCUGCCCUCAUCACUUGGCUUCGUGACCCUAAAGGAACAAUUUCCCUCUCUGGGCCUCAGUUUACCCAACUGUAAAACAAAAGUGUUAAGCCGGUUACCUGAGAUAAAAAUCAAGGCACAUCACCAGCAGUGCAUACCUCUCUGGGAGGCCAAAUUCCCCAUCCGUCCCUGCCACUGCCCUUUUAACCAGAUGUGACAUUCUCUGUCCUAAAGUGAACUUGGAGGUGUCUGGGUGAGUGCCAGCAGUCGUGCAGGAGUGAGGAGUGGAAGGGGAGGUCUACUGGGGAAGGGAUCCCCCAUGUGCCGUGGGAACAGGGGUAGAAGCCCCUUGGACUCUGAGUCCGCACAUCUCCCAGAGCCUCAAAAUCAUUCUGCUCUCUCCUGAGGUUUCUGUAAAUGGGCCUUGACACCCCCCACCUCUUUCCCACCAGCACCAUGCUGCUUAUCAGUUUGGAAUCUUAGGAUGAAGAACAACCCAUCCCCUGAGUAAUUUAAAGUCCAGAGAGCUCUUGACCCAACCCAGUAAGCCAGUGGGAAGGCCUAGUGUGUCCACUCCCUGAGCUCAAA